Glycine soja is the source of this 406-nucleotide long non-coding RNA. RefSeq lists it as uncharacterized. The record is from RefSeq and is a predicted model, not a curated record. The transcript has 2 exons. Lineage: Eukaryota; Viridiplantae; Streptophyta; Magnoliopsida; Fabales; Fabaceae.
CUUUAACUCCAUCGAAUAUAAGUGCGAAACUUUCAUCUUGUCUAGUCUAUGUAUGUGGAGUCCCACUAUUCUUUGUUCUUAGACACGGUAUAGAUAAAAUGAAGUCACAUUCACUCUCGUCCAGUGGCGGUGGCGUGAUAUUGGACAUGGCAUGACUCUACUUUGUAGCUAUUUUCAUUCAUCCCGUUCAACUAUCUGAGCUGUGCCUUGGUGCCACCAUGGAGGAAUAUUCUUCAAUGCUAAGUAUACUUAGUAUCAAAGUGAUGGUAUGGUUUGCAAAUAAUCAUACUCCUUUAGUAUGUUGUCAAUGAAUGGUGCCAUUUCAAAAUCUAAAUAUAUAUGAAGAGUAUCAUCAGUUGUUGAAAGAUGUUAAUUAACUCCUUAAAUGGAUUGAAGUUUGGAAGAA